CAACUAUCAACAACGGAUCUCUUGGCAUCCCACUCGAUGAAAACGCACGAAUUGCGAUAAGUAAUGUGAAUUGCAGAAUUCAGUGAAUCAUCGAAUCUUUGAACGCACCUUGCACCUUCCAGUCCUCUGGAGGGUAUGCCCGGUUGAGUAUUAUG
Molecule: ribosomal RNA, 155 nt
Filed under: uncultured Tulasnellaceae
Lineage: Eukaryota; Fungi; Basidiomycota; Agaricomycetes; Cantharellales; Tulasnellaceae
Description: 5.8S ribosomal RNA
Rfam family: 5.8S ribosomal RNA
About the family: 5.8S ribosomal RNA (5.8S rRNA) is a component of the large subunit of the eukaryotic ribosome. It is transcribed by RNA polymerase I as part of the 45S precursor that also contains 18S and 28S rRNA.
Source: RNAcentral